GGAGAGGUGACCGAGUGGUUUAAGGUGCACGCCUGGAACGCGUGUGUACGAAAGUACCGUGAGUUCGAAUCUCACCCUCUCCGCCA
This 86-nucleotide transfer RNA is filed under the name Deltaproteobacteria bacterium. Its description in RNAcentral is "tRNA-Ser". It matches the Rfam family "tRNA". Rfam says of the family: Transfer RNA (tRNA) molecules are approximately 80 nucleotides in length. Their secondary structure includes four short double-helical elements and three loops (D, anti-codon, and T loops). Lineage: Bacteria; Pseudomonadati; Myxococcota; Myxococcia. The record is from RNAcentral.